GUGCUUCCUUCGACAGCACAUAAACUAAAACUGGAAGGAUACAGAGAAGAUUAGCAUGGACUCUGAAAAAAAAAAGUCAAUUAAAAAAUUGGAUUACUUGCUA
Molecule: small nuclear RNA, 103 nt
Filed under: Colobus angolensis palliatus
Lineage: Eukaryota; Metazoa; Chordata; Mammalia; Primates; Cercopithecidae
Source: RNAcentral